CCAGGCCAGCCUCGCGGUGUCGGCCUUCCGCUCCCUCUGGCGGAGGCGAGGGGCCAGGCAGCGUUCGGAGAGAGACUGGAGACCCGGAACUUCAAGCUAAGCCACAGAGAUAGAGAUUUAAGUAAAGGACCCCCAAUCACCGGGCUGUGAGAGAACAGCAACGGUGCACGCGGGCGGAACUUGCCCCGGAUCGGUCUGGCUUCUCCUAUCAGACUUUCCCUAUGGUUUUCCAAAGCUAGAGCAGACUUCCAUUCUUCCUGUGGUGCACCUUGACUGACCACAUCCUGAUCUGCGUCGGGAGAAAAUGCACAUGGCAAGUAAUCUUGGACAUGAAGCAUCCUUUAGCGAGGGGGCUCAUCAAGUUCAAAAAGAUAACCUGAAACUGUCUCCUCCAAUGCCACAUCAUAAUGAUAUUACCUAGAAUUUUAUUUACAGGUACUGGACGGACAAUGAUUACACCAAGCCAAUAUGAAGUGAAGAAACGGAAAAUUAAGUGAUUUCCUCCAGUGCGUCCAUUUCACACCACUGCAUCUUGCUCGGGUCCCAUACGUAUGAGCUGAAGACAACCCGUGGUUUCAGCAAGAGGUUACCAGGGUCUUUUCUUGUGGUGGUUCCUGUCGUUUCUGGCCCUGGGAACCACACUUCUCGUUAGCUUCUAUACUUGCUCCAGGUUUGGUUUUGGGGGAGGGAGCUAACUGCAAAAGGAUUUCCAACUUGUCUAAGCAAGGUCUCGGCCUAAUCUCAUUUACUCAUUGACAGAGUAUCUUUACUUUUAGUAGCUAGGGAAGAUACUGGAAAUGCCCUCAGCCUUCUUAUCGAACCUUCAGAAUUCUGCAGGAGCUACACAAUGACUGUCUGUUUCCUAACAUUUUUAAAUUCUGUGAAUGGCUACUCGGAUAAAUAACGUGGGAUUAUUGAACACAUUAUUGAACAUUAUAAUUUUUUUUAAUUUUCUGUAUUUGUUAUCACAUAUUUUGUAUUGCCUAAUUAUUCAAGUCAUUAGUGGCUGUUACUUAAUUAUCAAGAAAAAGCAAGCCUGGUCAAGUCAGUGAUAUAUGUAGGCAGUCCUUGCUUUGUGCAGGUCUAUAGAAUGUGUGAACUGAAGUCAUACAAAGCAGUGUUAAUAAUCAAUGCGAAGAAAUUAUGAUCGUUCUAUGACCUUUAAAUUUUUUUUGUUAAACAUUAAAACCUCCCUGAUUAUUAGUUAUAAAUAUAUAGGGAAAUGAAAAAAUGUAGUAAAACUAACAUCUCUUUAGUACCCUGUAAGUGCCUUAUAUGCUCUGAUAAAAUGUUUAACUUUUGUGAGGAAGGUUAAUAGUAACCCCAGGAGAGUUUCAGCCGGGAGUGGGGGUGAGUCACAUUUGGUGGCAAAUCAUAUUUGCAUUUACAAAUGAUUACCCUGGCCCUGUUGGAGAGGGACUGGAGGGUGAUAGUUUGCGAUGGGCAUUAUAAGAAGGGGCUGGGAGCAAGGGAGUGCCAUAAGGGGCCGUUUCAGGGAUCCAUGUGAAAAAAAUAAUAGGAGUUUGAAGGAAGACAGCGGCAGGGAAAGGAGAUAAGAUGCAUGUCAGGAAAACUUGGAAGUAGAAGGAUUGAGACUUGGUAACUGGAUGUGAUGUGAAGGAAGAGACGUAUAGAAUGGUCUUCAGGCUUCUGGCUCAGAUGACUAGAUGGGAAGCUGAAGGUGACACAUUCCUUCAUGUAGGUGAAAAAGAGGAGAAGCAGGUUUAGGGGGAAAUUUAGCUAUGGAGAUGCUGAGUUUGAACCGAUAGUGAGAUGUCUCAGUGGAAAUAUCUAGAGAUAAAUGGAUAUACAUGGAUGUGCGUUCAGGAUACAGAUGUGGGUGAUAUUCACACAUAUGUUAUGCAUAUACAAUAUGUGCACAUA
This is a long non-coding RNA of Lynx canadensis (Canada lynx), 1884 nucleotides long. RefSeq lists it as uncharacterized. The record is from RefSeq and is a predicted model, not a curated record. NCBI's taxonomy places the organism in Eukaryota, Metazoa, Chordata, Mammalia, Carnivora, Felidae. The transcript is spliced from 6 exons.